Rattus norvegicus (Norway rat) is the source of this 142-nucleotide small nucleolar RNA. Ensembl annotates it as small nucleolar RNA SNORA17. The record is from Ensembl. Lineage: Eukaryota; Metazoa; Chordata; Mammalia; Rodentia; Muridae.
CCAGCUCCUAGAGGUGUUGCAGUUUUGAUUGCUGUAUCACAUGAGUGCCAUUACGUGGCAGAGGGGAAAGAGGCUAUGUCAAAGCUCAGUACUUUGUGAAUGUCUGACCUGUGAAUGUCUGAAGGUUUACUGACCUAACAUU